CGCGAGGGUGCAGACGACCGCGAUGACGCGGAGUAUGAGGUCCAGCAUGGACACCCCUCUACUGACCCCCUUGCUCAGGGGUGCCUUGGAGGUCUGAAGAAAACAGCCCAUGCCCCCUGCUUAUAUAUACACACAUACAUGGGGGGGCUGCCUCUGGAUCAGGUCAAUUUGGUGUUACAGCAGCUGGCGGUGCAAGGCGCCGCGUGCUGGUGCAUGCUCCCAGGCGCAUUUCGCCUGGUACCUGCUCCACAUAGCUCCAUGGAGACCAGUUUGCAAUUGCAUCGUUUCAGACAGAGCAGUUCUGUUGCUAGGCCUCCAAUAACAUGGGGAUCGGCUCGUGUCUUGCUUCUGCAGGGGAGGCUUCAGCUGGACGUUGGUUAGCUAGCCCAUGCCAGCUUCCGAAGCAACGGGAUGCCCUGCUUUUUCGUAAGAGGAAGGGGUGGUACGCCAUUUACGCAGAAGCCAGUUGAUUCGGCUUAUUGUUUCGUGCUUCUUCCAACUGAAAGAGCGGCGCCGGUCCCCUUGCUGCAAGGCUACGCGUAAGAGGAGCAGGAGGCAGGGCCACCUGUUCUGAGUUGACUCGCUGCAUUAUUUCUGCUUCUCUGGCUUGUGGAUGGAAGUGCAUCCACACCAGCAAACGAUUCCGUGAAUCCUUAUGUUUGGACUGUUUUCUGUUGUCCUUGCUGAUCUCGCCUUCUGGUUUUCUGCAAAGGCCAAGAAGAUCUCGAUUCCGUUGC
Long non-coding RNA from Hordeum vulgare subsp. vulgare (domesticated barley), 737 nucleotides. RefSeq lists it as uncharacterized. The record is from RefSeq and is a predicted model, not a curated record. Lineage: Eukaryota; Viridiplantae; Streptophyta; Magnoliopsida; Poales; Poaceae. The transcript has 2 exons.